UGAGAAGUAAUGUCCAUUUUCGCAGUUCAGAGCAUCUUUCUGGCUGGUCCCUGAGCACUCCUUUGUUUCUAAGCUGCUCAUCCAGCAAGUUAUUGUCAGAUGACUUGCCUUCUGCAGACAGAAAGUGAAACUGGUAGGAGUUUUUCAGUUCAGUUGCUAAAAACCUGCCAGGAGGUGCAGUUGGUGUCAGUUCCUCUCCAUUCAUUUUUGGAGAUGGUAAGGAGGAGCUAUGAGGAUCACUCUCAUUCAAGACAGAUUCUUUAG
This 264-nucleotide long non-coding RNA is filed under the name Anser brachyrhynchus (Pink-footed goose). RNAcentral's name for it is "lncRNA (ENSABRG00000022378.1)". Lineage: Eukaryota; Metazoa; Chordata; Aves; Anseriformes; Anatidae. The record is from RNAcentral.